RNAcentral lists this RNase P RNA (422 nucleotides) under Candidatus Omnitrophota bacterium. RNAcentral describes it as "RNase P RNA component class A". It matches the Rfam family "Bacterial RNase P class A". Rfam says of the family: Ribonuclease P (RNase P) is a ubiquitous endoribonuclease, found in archaea, bacteria and eukarya as well as chloroplasts and mitochondria. Its best characterised activity is the generation of mature 5'-ends of tRNAs by cleaving the 5'-leader elements of precursor-tRNAs. The record is from RNAcentral. Lineage: Bacteria; Pseudomonadati; Candidatus Omnitrophota.
AGGGAAUCUCGGGUGAUCGCUUGCCCGUCCAGGGCUCUAAGCACUGGCGACUCAAAUUUAUUUUGGGUUUUGGGCGAGAGGAAAGUCCGGGCUUCAGGGCAAGCGUAGUGGGUAACGCCCAUCUCUGCUAGGAGACCUGGCAGACGGAUAAGAGCCACAGAGACGAGUCCUUGGCUGAGUAAUGUCAGGCAAGGAGUGAAACGGGGCAAUCUCUACGUGAAGAAAGGCCAAAUAGGGUAAGGUCUGCCGGCGCCUCAAAACGCUGACAGGGAGUUCGCCUCUCCAGCUGUAGUUUUUAAUUAAGCUAUGGUGCUUUGCCGGGUAAGGCCGAAUGACCGAGGCGGUAACGCCUAGGCUUAGAUAGAUGAUCACCCUCCUUAGCAAUAAGGAGACAAAACUCGGCUUACAGAGAUUUCCUUCCU